UCGAGCGAGUCUGCCUUGAAGAUCGGAGUGCUUGCACUCUGUGAAACAAGAUACAGGCUAGCGGCGGACGGGUGAGUAACACGUGGGCAACCUGCCCAAGAGAUCGGGAUAACACCUGGAAACAGAUGCUAAUACCGGAUAACAACAGAUGAUGCCUAUCAACUGUUUAAAAGAUGGUUCUGCUAUCACUCUUGGAUGGACCUGCGGUGCAUUAGCUAGUUGGUAGGGUAACGGCCUACCAAGGCGAUGAUGCAUAGCCGAGUUGAGAGACUGAUCGGCCACAUUGGGACUGAGACACGGCCCAAACUCCUACGGGAGGCAGCAGUAGGGAAUCUUCCACAAUGGACGCAAGUCUGAUGGAGCAACGCCGCGUGAGUGAAGAAGGGUUUCGGCUCGUAAAGCUCUGUUGUUGGUGAAGAAGGACAGGGGUAGUAACUGACCUUUGUUUGACGGUAAUCAAUUAGAAAGUCACGGCUAACUACGUGCCAGCAGCCGCGGUAAUACGUAGGUGGCAAGCGUUGUCCGGAUUUAUUGGGCGUAAAGCGAGUGCAGGCGGCUCGAUAAGUCUGAUGUGAAAGCCUUCGGCUCAACCGGAGAAUUGCAUCAGAAACUGUCGAGCUUGAGUACAGAAGAGGAGAGUGGAACUCCAUGUGUAGCGGUGAAAUGCGUAGAUAUAUGGAAGAACACCGGUGGCGAAGGCGGCUCUCUGGUCUGUUACUGACGCUGAGGCUCGAAAGCAUGGGUAGCGAACAGGAUUAGAUACCCUGGUAGUCCAUGCCGUANACGAUGAGUGCUAAGUGUUGGGAGGUUUCCGCCUCUCAGUGCUGCAGCUAACGCAUUAAGCAC
This 846-nucleotide ribosomal RNA is filed under the name uncultured bacterium. RNAcentral's name for it is "bacterial SSU rRNA". It matches the Rfam family "Bacterial small subunit ribosomal RNA", at positions 62 to 867 of the family's 1533-position model. The record is from RNAcentral.